Molecule: long non-coding RNA, 1298 nt
Organism: Cannabis sativa
Lineage: Eukaryota; Viridiplantae; Streptophyta; Magnoliopsida; Rosales; Cannabaceae
Exons: 2
Source: RefSeq, a predicted model, not a curated record
AAAUCAAAUCAAAAUUCCAUGAAUAUUCAUACUCCAUUAGUGUGUAAUUAAUUUGUUUGAUAAUAUUAUAAAAUUAAUUAGUAUGUGCGUUUAGUAAACCUAAUUGUGUUUAUAUAAAUAUAUAUACAUUUAUAUUCCAUUCCUAAUGUUAAUUGGAUUAGUAUAAAUAUGUAGAUUCAUUGGAUUUUGAAAAGAUGAUAUAAUAUCUUUUCAAAAAAAAGAAAUUAAUAAGACGACGGUUUCUUUUUGAUUGGAAUUUUUAGUAAAGAUAGGAAAAUAAAAUUACGUAGCUCAAAAAAAAAUAAGAGAAAUAGAAAAUUAAGAAAUUAAAAAAAGAAAAAAAAUAUUGGUAUAUCCAAAAAAAAAAAAAAAAAAAUUAGAAAGAAAGAAGGAGAUGAGGAAUAAUAGUUGUUACAGAUUUUUUUACAAAUUUUAUAGUUUAUCAGAAAAUACAUAUUUGAGGGAGGUUUGACUGGAAUAGUUGACAAAAUGGGUGAGAGAUGAGCCUCCAAAUUAUGGAUGUCGCUCAACACCUAAUGGUCGUGACCGUAGGCGAUGGUGACUAUGGUGCGGUAAGUGAUCUGGAAUUGUGAAUUUUAUCAUAUCCUACGUACAAGCAUAUGUCCUCGUUCUCCGUGACGACAACGCCGAUAGGAUUUGAGAUUUGGCUAAGGGAUUUCUAUAGAUGAGUUACGAUCGUUGUUGAUUCGUGGUGGCCAGUGGAAUGGGAAUGGGAAUCGGAAAGAGGAGAUGUUGUUGUGGGUUUCUUGUUCUCCGACUGAAUGGACGGAAUCGGUUCGGGUUGCGAUGGUGUCGUCUUGGCUGAAGUGGUUGUUGCAUCGGUUCGGAAGUGAUUGUUUAUCUAUACUUUAAAACACAAAAAGUUCACAUAUUGCAGAAGAUCUGAAUUCAUUGGUUACUUCUUAGUCAUUCAAGCAGAAGCUUCAGUCUUAAUGAUAGUGCUGGAUUGGUUUUACACGUUGUUCUUUCUCUUUUGUUAUGUGGAGUCUGAUUAUUUAAUUUUGGUUUUUGUUUUUCAAAAGCGCUCUUUCUUUUGAAAUGAGCUAGAUUUUUUUAGAUUUUUUUGCUACUUUGCUUUCCAAUUUUACUAAGGCAUUCUUAGUUCAUGUUCGUUUUUCAUGAAUUAGUUGUGCAUGCACUUAGGGUAAAUAGUAAAUUAGGUUAGAUUGAGGAUUAUACAUCUUUUCUUAUUGAUUUGUAUUAAACUCUUGGUUGUUGUUAAUAAGAGUUUAAUUUCAAAAAGAAAAAAGAAAUUAAUAAACAUUUAAAUUAAAUAA